UCGCCUGUUUAUCAAAAACAUAUCUGCAAGUGUCAUUUGCAGUGAGCCCUGCCCAGUGCAGGUAAACGGCCGCAGUAUUUUAACUGUGCUAAGGUAGCAAAAUCAAUUGGCUUUUAAUUGGAGUCGGGUAUGAAUGGGUGUUUGUGCUAAUACUUUAUUACUCUGACGAUUUUGAAUUUAAUAAGAUGGUGAAAAUGCCAUCAAACCAUAAAAAAGACGAUAAGACCCUGGGAGUUUUACUAUGAUGUUUUGUUGGGGCAACAGGGCCCACGAAAACGAGCCCGUUUGAGUGAGAAUAACCAUUUAAAGAUACUAAUAAACUACCCCAGGGAUAACAGCACAAUAUUACGAAAAUGUUUGUGACCUCGAUGUUGGAUUAGGGAGCCUCAUGGUUAGCCACCCUGAUGCCUUGCUCUGUUCGAGCAGUGUCACCCUACGUGAUCUGAUUCAGACCGGA
RNAcentral lists this ribosomal RNA (457 nucleotides) under Miralda sp. EED-Phy-918. RNAcentral describes it as "partial 16S ribosomal RNA". It matches the Rfam family "Bacterial large subunit ribosomal RNA", at positions 1796 to 2620 of the family's 2925-position model. Lineage: Eukaryota; Metazoa; Mollusca; Gastropoda; Pyramidellidae. The record is from RNAcentral.